RNAcentral lists this ribosomal RNA (514 nucleotides) under uncultured Symbiodinium. Its description in RNAcentral is "partial Bacterial large subunit ribosomal RNA". It matches the Rfam family "Bacterial large subunit ribosomal RNA", at positions 550 to 1063 of the family's 2925-position model. The record is from RNAcentral. Lineage: Eukaryota; Dinophyceae; Suessiales; Symbiodiniaceae.
CUGAAACCGUGCGCUUACAAGCGGUCGGAGCCCUUUAGUGGGGUGACGGCGUGCCUUUUGCAUAAUGAGCCUACGAGUUGUCGUUGUUGGCAAGGUUAACCCGUUCAGCGGGGUAGCCGGAGCGAAAGCGAGUCUUAACAGGGCGCAUAGUCAGGGGAGGUAGACGCGAAACUUGGUGAUCUACCCAUGACCAGGUUGAAGUUGCGGUAACACGCAAUGGAGGACCGAACCAGUAGACGUUGAAAAGUCUUUGGAUGAGUUGUGGGUAGGGGUGAAAGGCCAAUCAAACUGAGAAAUAGCUCGUACUCUCCGAAAUGUUUUUAGGAACAGCCUCGGAGGAUGUCUGCUAGAGGUAGAGCUACCAAUAGGACUAGGGGGAGUCAAAUCCUACCAAAUCCUGAUGAACUCCGAAUGCCGUAAGAUAUACUCUGCAGUGAGGGCAUGGGUGCUAAGGUCCAUGUCCGAGAGGGAAAGAACCCAGAUCUACAGCUAAGGUCCCAAAGUGUAUGCUAAG